CCUACGGUAGGCUGCAGUGAGGAAUAUUGGUCAAUGGACGAGAGUCUGAACCAGCCAAGUAGCGUGAAGGAUGACUGCCCUAUGGGUUGUAAACUUCUUUUAUAAAGGAAUAAAACGAGGCACGUGUGCCUUUUUGCAUGUACUUUAUGAAUAAGGAUCGGCUACCUCCGUGCCAGCAGCCGCGGUAAUACGGAGGAUCCGAGCGUUAUCCGGAUUUAUUGGGUUUAAAGGGAGCGUAGAUGGGUUGUUAAGUCAGUUGUGAAAGUUUGCGGCUCAACCGUAAAAUUGCAAUUGAUACUGGCAGUCUUGAGUACAGUUGAGGAAGGCGGAAGUCGUGGUGUAGCGGUGAAAUGCUUAGAUAUCACGAAGAACCCCGAUUGCGAAGGCAGCUUACUAAACUGUGACUGACAUUGAUGCUCGAAAGUGUGGGUAUCAAACAGGAUUAGAUACCCGAGUAGUC
This 460-nucleotide ribosomal RNA is filed under the name uncultured bacterium. RNAcentral's name for it is "partial 16S ribosomal RNA". It matches the Rfam family "Bacterial small subunit ribosomal RNA", at positions 338 to 795 of the family's 1533-position model. The record is from RNAcentral.